AACCUGGUUGAUCCUGCCAGUAGUCAUAUGCUUGUCUCAAAGAUUAAGCCAUGCAUGUCUAAGUAUAAACUUUUAUACGGUUAAACUGCGAAUGGCUCAUUAUAACAGUUAUAGUUUACUUGAUAUGUUUACUAGGGUACCGAGUCCGAAUUCGUAAB
This 158-nucleotide non-coding RNA is filed under the name Cryptosporidium parvum Iowa II. Its description in RNAcentral is "Eukaryotic small subunit ribosomal RNA". It matches the Rfam family "Eukaryotic small subunit ribosomal RNA", at positions 1 to 174 of the family's 1831-position model. The record is from Rfam by way of RNAcentral. Lineage: Eukaryota; Apicomplexa; Conoidasida; Eucoccidiorida; Cryptosporidiidae.